AGUGUCCGCAUGACUCUUGGAUUAACCCCAGUAUUACAGUAAAACACUGCACAAAACAAGGUAAUCUCGGUUCAGAAGACAGAAGCUUACUUUAUCCAAUAAAAAAAUCGUCUCUUUAGCAAUAGCAACUAUGCAGUCUCCCUUUGUCGUGAUACUGUUUCUCGCAUUCGCCCACCAUGCAACUCCUUUGUUCAGCUUUCAUGUCGGCUCAAGAGCCCCAGAAGACGUAGUAUUUCUGAAUUUGACCGAAACGUUCCAAAAGGAAAUUGGUAGGCCUACGUACUUCGUUAAAACCUACUCCGGCAACUCGAAGGAGCCGUAUGAAUUGACAAGUGUUAAAGUCACACCAGUGGGUCGCUACUGCUUGGCUUCCGCUGGAAUAGUAGCCGGUGGACCUGGACACUCGUUCUUUACUAUCGGCUACGCUAUGCCCAACAACCUGAUGGCCUAUGGGUUCAAUGUGAUUGCUUACAAGAGAAUUAAAACGUAGAAAAUGUUUAGAUUGUAGGAAAAUGUGCUAUGGAUAUUUUUACCACAAAAACUUUUAAUAAAAUUUGUACGAAUAUUUUUAACAAUGUAAUUUUAUAAUUUCAUUCGCCUCAGACUAAAUUAGUAUCAUGUUUAGAUAAUAACGAAAUUAUCCUUUACAAAUUAAACAGACAAUUUACACACUACACGAAUCAUUGUACAUAUACAUGGAGCGAUUUGCAACGUCAGAAAUCCGGAGAUCCCCACUCGCACUUAUAAAAGCUUAGUGUAUGCGGUACAGCCCAUCAUUCGUCAUUAGUGAUUAGCAAUCGUCUGAUCGCAACAAGUCAGGGGUAUACAUAGUUGAUUUUUUUUUUGCUCUACCGCAACAACAUGAAAAUAUACGUGAUUUGUGCUGUGCUUUUGUUCGCACCAGCAGCAUUGGGUCUGUUUUCUAAUGGAAUUUGGGAUGUUUUACAUGCUAAUGAAGCAAAGUGUCAACUCAAUAGCGGAGCAAGCGAUGCAAGUAUCGAAGAUGCCAGACGAGCUAGGAAACUUUCCGAAAGUCCAGAAAUGAAUGCCUUCGCGAAGUGUAUGCUGGGAAUAUACAAUGUUAUGAGACCUGAUGGAAGCAUCAAUCCCGAUUUUCAGUCAUACACUGUACCGACCGAUGUACCCAAUAAUACCUGGAGAAUUUCUCAGAAAUGCAUAACUCUGGGUGGAACUGAUUCCGGAGAUACUGCGAGAAAAAUCUUCAACUGUUAUACUGAGAACAAUCAACUGGUUAUGGCCUGGACACCUAAAGUGUCUGUUUAGUAAAAUUGACAACAGUAGCAACUGUAACAAUCAGUUAUUCUUAAUAAUAAAUUCAAUUUUCAGUGCAAAAAAACUUCUAUAACUAUAUUCAUCUUUAUGCUAUACCAAUUUAUAUUUAAAAAAUAAGAAGUCCUCUUAUCUAAUAAAUAAAGUUUGUAUAUUUACAAUGAUUACGGAAACUGAUGUUUUGUAUCAGCGAUUCGGACUUUCCCAAUACAACUCGAGUAUAUAAAAGCUCAGUUUACGCUGAAGUCUGCAUCAGUGAUUGGCAACCGUCGGACCGUAACAUAUCAGCCAAUACAUAUUCUGUCUAGUCGAUUCUUUUGCUUUACUGCGUCAAUAUGAAAAUAUACGUUCUUUGUGCUGUACUUUUCUUCACACCCACUGUAUUUGGUAUCUAUUCCUCUGCAAUUUGGGAUGCUUUACUUCAUGCUAACGAAGAACCAUGUGGACGAAGUGCAGGACUAAGCGAAGAAAGUAUCGAAAGUUCCAGACGAGCCAGGUAUCUUCCCGAAAGUCCAGAAAUGAAUGUAUUCGCAUUUUGUGUAAUACGAGUAUUAAAUAUCAUGAGCAAAGAUGGAAAGGUAAAUCCCGACAUUGGAUCAUACCUUGUUCCGACUAACACACCGGAUAUUACAAAGGUAAUUUCCGAGAAAUGCAGAACUCAUGUUGGAGUUGAUGCCGGAGAUACCGCGAGGACAAUUUUGAACUGUUAUCUCCAAGCAGAUCAACUGGUCAUUUCGUUACCCUCAGACGCGCAACUGACUUUUAACUAAAAUUGUAAAUAAACACUGCAUUGAGACACAAGUCCGCGAGGAGGUGAUCCACGAAACAAGUGAUAUAACAACAAGUUGAUAUCAGCGAAUAAAAUCAUAAUUCCCAUUGAGUGACAAUGUUAUAUUCAUCGAUAUGAUUCAGAAUAAAUUAAUUUUUAGUACAAACA
RNA transcript from Nasonia vitripennis (jewel wasp), 2227 nucleotides. RefSeq lists it as uncharacterized. NCBI's taxonomy places the organism in Eukaryota, Metazoa, Arthropoda, Insecta, Hymenoptera, Pteromalidae. The record is from RefSeq and is a predicted model, not a curated record. The transcript has 9 exons.